GCCUGACUCCGCCGCGGCCGACGGGCAGCCGGAGGUGCGGAUCGAUAUAGCCGGGGACACCGUGGCGGCGGCGGCGGCGGCGAAGAGCAGUGCGCCGGCGAUGGGGAGGCUGCCGAGUGGGACGGAUCUCGAGAAGACGAGACGGGUCUUCACCUCGACCCGAUCCGCUUCCUUCUGAAUCUGACAACGAAAUAGACAGCGGAAGGUUCCUAGCCCGUUCCUGAACGUACGGACCCAGCCAUCGUUUCGGAAUUCGGAUUGUUUGUAGACUGCACAUACAUUUGUUGGCGUUACUGGGUUGGGUAUACCGUAUACGAUAUACGUAUACCUGGUUUUGUACAAUUUUGCCAGACGGUCGAUGGUUAUUUUUGUGUGAUCUUGACUUCUUGAGUUACCCCACUGGUCUCCUGUAAAUAAAUUUGGUAUUUAAACGGUGUAGGAGGGUGGAUGUGGGUAGUUAUUCGGCAC
This 468-nucleotide long non-coding RNA is filed under the name Oryza brachyantha (malo sina). RNAcentral's name for it is "long non-coding RNA (OBRA_LNC000090)". Lineage: Eukaryota; Viridiplantae; Streptophyta; Magnoliopsida; Poales; Poaceae. The record is from RNAcentral.